Long non-coding RNA from Patella vulgata (common limpet), 683 nucleotides. RefSeq lists it as uncharacterized. The transcript has 4 exons. NCBI's taxonomy places the organism in Eukaryota, Metazoa, Mollusca, Gastropoda, Patellidae. The record is from RefSeq and is a predicted model, not a curated record.
AGAGAUCGUUUCCUGUCCGAACAAAUCACAGAUCACCUGUUUGAAUCUGCCAUGGGAUCGUUUGAUUUGGGUGCCUUUAAUAUCCAACGAGGUCGAGAUCACGGUCUACCACCUUACAACACCUUUAGAAAAUUCUGCAAUUUACCUGAAGCCAACAACUUCAACAGUGAACAAUUCGAGAAAACGGCUCGAAAACCUCUUAAAAAGACAUACAAAAGUGUUGAUGAUAUUGAUGUAUUCGUCGGUGGUAUGGCAGAACAAAAUGAAAAUGGGUCGGUUCUUGGCCCGCUCUUCAAUUGUAUCUUGGGCAGACAAUUCAGCGAUUUGAAAUAUGGAGACAGUUUCUGGUAUGAAACAACAGACCAGAAACGAGGAUUCUCGAAAAAUCAACUUAAGGCCAUUAAGAAAGUUUCUUUGUCUAAGAUCCUGUGUCAAGUUUUUAACUUGGCUAAAAUCCAAAAAAAUCCUUUCCUGCACAAGGGCAAGAAAGUCAGAUGUAAGAAACUGACAGGGUUGGACCUUAGUCCCUGGUAUGAACAUUAAAUGAUUUAAAGCAACUUUGCUAACGACGUUGGAUGGCUCUAUAACAAUAACGUUGCGAACGACGCUAACGUCUAUAACAACACCACUGAUGACGUCAUAUUCAGCAUAUCGUACUGGCUUCCAUGUACAUUUCUAUAAUG